Molecule: long non-coding RNA, 569 nt
Filed under: Equus caballus (horse)
Lineage: Eukaryota; Metazoa; Chordata; Mammalia; Perissodactyla; Equidae
Description: lncRNA (ENSECAG00000060307.1)
Source: RNAcentral
GUUUCCCUGCUGGAGUCAAUGGGGAUCAAUUUUCCAGCCUCUAGAAACAUCCUCUACAAAUCUCUGAACGUAUUUUGCAGAAAAAUACUCUCCAGCCUGAUUCAAUCAGCCUGCUUCCAAAGUUUAUCAUCUGUCUUGACACCUGAAGUUACUCUUGUUCAUAGACUGAGCUGUUCUGGCUGGCCCACUGCCUGGAGAACAUUCUCUGGAGAGGUUCUCCCACCUGGGAGGGCUGGAAGGAAUGAGCAGUGGAUCUAGAUGGAGCCACAUAAACAAGUCCAGCUGGACGCAGCAAAUCACACACCCAGGAAAGUCGGCAUGAGGCAUCAGUGACCAGGACUCUUGAUACUGAAGAGUGGGGCUCCAUCAGCACCUCAAAGAGUGAGGAAAUUCAGCCCUCGAAAGUAUAAGUGACUUGCCCAAGGUGAAACAAGCAGUGACUGGCGUGCCCACGUUUUGACUCCAGAGUGAACACUUCUCUUCUCUGUUCUGGCUGCCUCAAGGCAGAUACUGAUCAAGUGCUCGUCUAGAAUGACCUUAAAAGCUGGGAUGGCAAAGCCAGAUAAGGC